RNAcentral lists this unclassified non-coding RNA (345 nucleotides) under soil metagenome. RNAcentral describes it as "partial contains 5.8S ribosomal RNA, internal transcribed spacer 2, and large subunit ribosomal RNA". The stretch from base 1 to 120 matches the Rfam family "5.8S ribosomal RNA", at positions 35 to 154 of the family's 154-position model. The record is from RNAcentral.
GAUGAAGAACGUAGCGAAAUGCGAUACGUAAUGUGAAUUGCAGAAUUCAGUGAAUCAUCGAGUCUUUGAACGCACAUUGCGCCCUCUGGUAUUCCGGAGGGCAUGCCUGUCCGAGCGUCAUUGCUGCCCUCAAGCACGGCUUGUGUGUUGGGCCCCGCCCCCCGAUCCCGGGGGGCGGGCCCGAAAGGCAGCGGCGGCACCGCGUCCGGUCCUCGAGCGUAUGGGGCUUUGUCACCCGCUCUGUAGGCCCGGCCGGCGCUUGCCGAUCAACCAAACUUUUUUCCAGGUUGAUCUCGGAUCAGGUAGGGAUACCCGCUGAACUUAAGCAUAUCAAUAAGCGGAGGA